Molecule: long non-coding RNA, 270 nt
Filed under: Olea europaea (common olive)
Lineage: Eukaryota; Viridiplantae; Streptophyta; Magnoliopsida; Lamiales; Oleaceae
Description: long non-coding RNA (OEUR_LNC001837)
Source: RNAcentral
UAAAUAGAACCUAAGUUGAAAUUUUAUGACGCAAAUGAAGGGGUUCCCAAAUUACAACAUGUUUCUAUUGAGAAACAACAACAGGAUAGAAGUGAAGGUGAGUUCCAGAAAUUACAAUUCUAGGACAACCUUGAGAGACUUUCAAGUUGGUGAUCAGAGAUUAUCUGUUCGCAGGUUCUCCAUGUGAUCUAUAUGUCAUGCAGAUUUUGAAAUUAUGUAAAUGUAGUAAUUGGGACUUGUUUGACAUUCGUUUCUAUUUAAUAUCUUGAC